AGAAGGUGACAUGCAGAGGGUAGCUGGCUCUGCCUUGGAGGGCAAAGUGGGCUGCUGGUGCUAUGCUGAAGAGCAAAGCAGGUGGGGGCUCCCCAGGCCCCAUCCCUGGUAUUGGAAACUUGACUGAAGACUACGUAUCAUGCACUGGAGAAGGUAACAGUCCUUUAAUACUAAUUUUGAUUUAUUGAUACUAUUUUAUAUGGUCUUAAAGCAAUUGCAUUAAAUGUCUGGAUUUUCUUUGUGUUGUUUGUGCCUGAGACUACAGAAUCUGUCCCUGAGUUUCUCGGUACCUUGAGAGUAGGUUUUGUUUAAUUCUUGAAUUCUUGAAUUCUUUACUUUCCACCAGUCGGUGGAAAUUUUUGUUUAAAUUCCUCAGGAUGCAUAUUGCAUUUAGGCAAUUUUAUAUUUCAAGAUUUAUAGAAAACAUGGAGUAGCUUGCCUUCAGAAAACUUUCUGUAAACAUGCCAUUGUUUAAAACAAGGUAUCUAAUUUGAACAAACAGUUUACAAAAGGAGAUUGGUA
RNAcentral lists this long non-coding RNA (522 nucleotides) under Anser cygnoides (Swan goose). Its description in RNAcentral is "lncRNA (ENSACDG00005015639.1)". Lineage: Eukaryota; Metazoa; Chordata; Aves; Anseriformes; Anatidae. The record is from RNAcentral.